AGUAACACGUGGAUAACCUACCUAUAAGACUGGGAUAACUUCGGGAAACCGUAGCUAAUACCGGAUGAUAUUUUGAACCGCAUGGUUCAAAAGUGAAAGACGGUCUUGCUGUCACUUAUAGAUGGAUCCGCGCUGCAUUAGCUAGUUGGUAAGGUAACGGCUUACCAAGGCAACGAUGCAUAGCCGACCUGAGAGGGUGAUCGGCAACACUGGAACUGAGACACGGUCCAG
RNAcentral lists this ribosomal RNA (231 nucleotides) under uncultured Staphylococcus sp. Its description in RNAcentral is "partial 16S ribosomal RNA". It matches the Rfam family "Bacterial small subunit ribosomal RNA", at positions 109 to 334 of the family's 1533-position model. The record is from RNAcentral. Lineage: Bacteria; Bacillati; Bacillota; Bacilli; Caryophanales; Staphylococcaceae.